This 153-nucleotide unclassified non-coding RNA is filed under the name Coniochaeta ellipsoidea. RNAcentral describes it as "partial internal transcribed spacer 2". Lineage: Eukaryota; Fungi; Ascomycota; Sordariomycetes; Coniochaetales; Coniochaetaceae. The record is from RNAcentral. RNAcentral also lists the same sequence under 2 other names.
CAACCCUCAAGCCCUGCUUGGUGUUGGGGUCCUACGGCUGCCGUAGGCCCUGAAAGCUAGUGGCGGGCUCGCUAUAACUCCGAGCGUAGUAGUAAAAUAUCUCGCUAGGGAGGUGUCGCGGGUUCCGGCCGUGAAAGCCCAUCUUUUACACAA